AUCCAGUUGACCAAUCCCAAAUAGGACGAAACGCGUGUCCUGGAU
Molecule: non-coding RNA, 45 nt
Filed under: Schistosoma mansoni
Lineage: Eukaryota; Metazoa; Platyhelminthes; Trematoda; Strigeidida; Schistosomatidae
Source: RNAcentral